GCAAUGCUCUGGAGACAGAGCGGAGGUAUCCGGGAGACAGGUGGUGCAUGGUUGUCGUCAGCUCGUGUCGUGAGAUGUUGGGUUAAGUCCCGCAACGAGCGCAACCCUUAUUGCUAGUUACCAUCAUUGAGUUGGGGACUCUAGCGAGACUGCCAGCGAUAAGCUGGAGGAAGGUGGGGAUGACGUCAAAUCAUCAUGCCCCUUAUGACCUGGGCUACAAACGUACUACAAUGGCCAAUACAAAGAGAUGCGAAGCGGUGACGUGAAGCGAACCUCAGAAAGUUGGUCUCAGUUCAGAUUGAAGUCUGCAACUCGACUUCAUGAAGGCGGAAUCGCUAGUAAUCGCGGGUCAGCAGACCGCGGUGAAUACGUUCCCGGGUUUU
This 383-nucleotide ribosomal RNA is filed under the name uncultured Mollicutes bacterium. Its description in RNAcentral is "bacterial SSU rRNA". It matches the Rfam family "Bacterial small subunit ribosomal RNA", at positions 993 to 1382 of the family's 1533-position model. Lineage: Bacteria; Bacillati; Mycoplasmatota; Mollicutes. The record is from RNAcentral.